This 64-nucleotide transfer RNA is filed under the name Cavia porcellus (domestic guinea pig). It matches the Rfam family "tRNA". From Rfam's summary of the family: Transfer RNA (tRNA) molecules are approximately 80 nucleotides in length. Their secondary structure includes four short double-helical elements and three loops (D, anti-codon, and T loops). Further hydrogen bonds mediate the characteristic L-shaped molecular structure. tRNAs have two regions of fundamental functional importance: the anti-codon, which is responsible for specific mRNA codon recognition, and the 3' end, to which the tRNAs corresponding amino acid is attached (by aminoacyl-tRNA synthetases). tRNAs cope with the degeneracy of the genetic code in two manners: having more than one tRNA (with a specific anti-codon) for a particular amino acid; and 'wobble' base-pairing, i.e. permitting non-standard base-pairing at the 3rd anti-codon position. The record is from Rfam by way of RNAcentral. Lineage: Eukaryota; Metazoa; Chordata; Mammalia; Rodentia; Caviidae.
GGGGAUUUAGCUCAGUGGUGUAAGCGCCUGCCUGGCAAGCACAAAGUCAUGAAUUCAAUCCCCA